This 477-nucleotide ribosomal RNA is filed under the name bacterium BSD13. RNAcentral's name for it is "bacterial SSU rRNA". It matches the Rfam family "Bacterial small subunit ribosomal RNA", at positions 58 to 515 of the family's 1533-position model. The record is from RNAcentral.
CAAGUCGAGCGGAACGAGUUAUCUGAACCUUCGGGGAACGAUAACGGCGUCGAGCGGCGGACGGGUGAGUAAUGCCUAGGAAAUUGCCCUGAUGUGGGGGAUAACCAUUGGAAACGAUGGCUAAUACCGCAUAAUGCCUACGGGCCAAAGAGGGGGACCUUCGGGCCUCUCGCGUCAGGAUAUGCCUAGGUGGGAUUAGCUAGUUGGUGAGGUAAUGGCUCACCAAGGCGACGAUCCCUAGCUGGUCUGAGAGGAUGAUCAGCCACACUGGAACUGAGACACGGUCCAGACUCCUACGGGAGGCAGCAGUGGGGAAUAUUGCACAAUGGGCGCAAGCCUGAUGCAGCCAUGCCGCGUGUGUGAAGAAGGCCUUCGGGUUGUAAAGCACUUUCAGUCGUGAGGAAGGUGGUAGUGUUAAUAGCACUAUCAUUUGACGUUAGCGACAGAAGAAGCACCGGCUAACUCCGUGCCAGCAGC